RNAcentral lists this long non-coding RNA (204 nucleotides) under Elaeis guineensis (African oil palm). RNAcentral describes it as "long non-coding RNA (EGUI_LNC022949)". Lineage: Eukaryota; Viridiplantae; Streptophyta; Magnoliopsida; Arecales; Arecaceae. The record is from RNAcentral.
GCAGAGAAGACAUAAGAGUCGAGAAGAGGCCUUGGUAGCCAUUAGAAGAGAGUCCGGUGUGUGCUGAGGGUAUACAGCAGUUAAAGCAGAUACUGCAGAGCACCGACAAGGGAUUGGGGGCAGAACAGAGCAUCAGGCAAAGCAGCAAUGGUGAGGCAUGAUGUAGCAGCUUCCACAGGAAGCGUCCAAGGGCGUCAAGGAUCC